GCGCGGUUAGCUCAAUCGGUAGAGCGUCCGCUUGACGUGCGGAAGGUAGCAGGUUCGAUCCCUGCACCGCGCA
Molecule: transfer RNA, 73 nt
Filed under: Candidatus Kaiserbacteria bacterium RIFCSPHIGHO2_01_FULL_51_33
Lineage: Bacteria; Candidatus Kaiseribacteriota
Also listed under: 2 other names
Description: tRNA-Val
Rfam family: tRNA
About the family: Transfer RNA (tRNA) molecules are approximately 80 nucleotides in length.
Source: RNAcentral